UUGUUGUGGUUGGUACAGAC
This 20-nucleotide unclassified non-coding RNA is filed under the name Mus musculus (house mouse). Its description in RNAcentral is "oocyte_clustered_small_RNA7225". The record is from RNAcentral. Lineage: Eukaryota; Metazoa; Chordata; Mammalia; Rodentia; Muridae.